AGCCCUUGCCUUUUCCAGCUAUAGGAUCUUAGUCCCUGCCUCCCCACCCCUUGGGAGUGGACCUUUGUGAUGUCUAAGCUCCCUGGGGCCACCAUUGGCUGUGGUGAGUGCCCUGCUGACCAAACAAAGCUGAGAGGGCGUGAACCCUCAUUGUCCCCGGAGAGGUAUAUAUACAGAGGACGGGACUCCUGGAGUAGACACCAGAGAAGCUGCAACAUGGCGAAAGUGGUAGAGAAAUCAUGGGAGUCACAAACCACAAACACCAAGCGGUGGAGGAAGAGGAAGAACCAGUCUCGAUCCAGAUCAAGAGGCGCUAGCAAGGUGCUAAAGAUCUACAAGAAGGUAAAAAGAUCAUUUCACAUGAGUUCAAGAAAAAAAUACUCUCCUAAAGUUAUGACCACUUCCAGAAGAAAGAAGAGGGCGAGAAGGGCCAACAAGUUUCAGCCGUUGCCGUAGGCUGAGAGCCAAAAGCAGCCAGGCCAGACCCAGCAGACGCUAUGGAGCAACACCACUCCAAGACCAUGCAAACAGCCCCUACCGAGCGAGCUUCUGAGACCUCAGACAGUCUGCAUUUAGGAUCCUGGCUGCGGGGAAAUGGCCAGCUGCAGAGAGACCUACUCGGAUCCUAAUGUGGAACACAGAACACAAAUGGGAGGUGAUCAAAAUAAAAUCAACAGGGUGGGAGAAGCUCCUCCAAAAAAUAAAAUUAGGCGCUCUGCACAGCAA
Molecule: long non-coding RNA, 726 nt
Organism: Lontra canadensis (Northern American river otter)
Lineage: Eukaryota; Metazoa; Chordata; Mammalia; Carnivora; Mustelidae
Exons: 2
Source: RefSeq, a predicted model, not a curated record